GAUUAACGCUGGCGGCGUGCAUAACACAUGCAAGUCGAACGAUGAAACUUAGUAGACUUCUUCGGAAAGACACUAAGCGGAUUAGUGGCGAACGGGUGAGUAACGCGUGAGUAACCUGCCUUACACAAGGGGAUAGCCUUUGGAAACGAAGAAUAAUACCCUAUAAAACUAUAAAAGCACAUGCUGGAAUGGUCAAAGUGCUAGCGGUGUAAGAUGGACUUGCGUCUGAUUAGCUAGUUGGUGAGAUAAAAGCUCACCAAGGCAACGAUCAGUAGCCGGCUUGAGAGAGUGUACGGCCACAUUGGGACUGAGACACGGCCCAGACUCCUACGGGAGGCAGCAGUGGGGAAUUUUGCACAAUGGGGGAAACCCUGAUGCAGCGACGCCGCGUGAUUUAGAAGGCCUUCGGGUUGUAAAAAUCUUUUGUAUAGGAAGAAAAUGACAGUACUAUACGAAUAAGGUCCGGCUAAUUACGUG
Molecule: ribosomal RNA, 477 nt
Filed under: uncultured bacterium
Lineage: Bacteria
Description: partial 16S ribosomal RNA
Rfam family: Bacterial small subunit ribosomal RNA
Source: RNAcentral